AGGCUCUGUAGUGUGCAUGGAGGCACGUUCUUCUCUGCUGACCCUGCUACAAGGGUGCCACCAUCAGCACAUUAGCAGAUCUGUCUUCUGGGGACUCAUGGCCAGACAUCGACAAGGAAAAGAAAUGACCCAUCUACCUGGAACAAAACCAGAAGCACCCCCAGAAACAGCUGCAGAAGCUUACGAGAAUGUGGGCAGCAAGGAGUUUCCUGGAGGAGGCUCUUGGCAUCCCAUACACACAGCAGAGAACCCUCAACAUGUGGAAAAAAAGAUUCCUCAGGCUGGUUGGCACUGGCAGCUGGGUUAUUAUCGUGCCUUGAGAAAGUACUUCUGCACAGUAUUUUUCAUGUAAGCAAAAGCUGUUAGCACUGAAAAUCUUCCCAAAAAAGGAUCCUCCUGAGCUGGUCCAAACACAGAUACUGCUCCAACAAGCUUAAAUCCUGGGGGAGUGUCUGAAGCAUUGAAAUCUCAUGAGGACAGAACUAUCAGCUGGACAAAGAGGGCAUAUCCAGGGAUGCCAAACACAGGCAUAGCAGUUCCUUGACUUCAGCUAAUUACCACGUUCCCUUGAAGAAGGAGUGACACCUCUCCCAUGUUUCUCUGCUAGCAUCAUGAAAGAACUGAUCUAUGAGCUAUUCAGUGGUUACUUACAUCAUUCUUGUGUUUCCAGCCACGUGACUUGACCGCAAGGCUUUCAGAAGUGAUCCAGUUUCUGCAUGGCGUUAACCAUCACCACACUUGAGUCUUCCCAGCUGAGGAUCUAUUUCAUACCCUUCAGCUGAAAGACAUCUGCCUUAGGUGUCUUGGCAGACACUUCCAAUUUGUGUCCUUAUCUCACGGUCUCAAGCCAUCUUCAAAGGUUUUGCAGCUUCUUGUGUUUUCCAAGUUCAAAACCUUGCAGCCCACUGGUAUUGAAAAUGUGUGAAUGAACAAAAUAAUUGGAGCUGAAUGACAGUGUAAGUAUCAGCUGUCACUGCAAGGGGCGUUUUCUUCAUUUCCAUAAUGAGUUCAUUGAGAA
Molecule: long non-coding RNA, 1018 nt
Organism: Falco peregrinus (peregrine falcon)
Lineage: Eukaryota; Metazoa; Chordata; Aves; Falconiformes; Falconidae
Exons: 8
Source: RefSeq, a predicted model, not a curated record